CAGCAGCGUGGAUCCUCAGACCGCAGCCCGCUAUGUGUACCGCGGCUUCUCCCUCCAAGGGAAAUCUGGGGGGCGGUGCGGGUGCCCGCAGACCGCGGCCAGACCACCAUCCUGCAGCCGAGCCGAGGGCACUGAAGGCAUGGCCCGUACGGACAGGCACUGCCCGAUCCCGUCUCCCUCGCUCUAACCUGAAACGUUGCCGCUCAGCCUCCCCUCCGCGCCCGGCGGGGGCUGCGAGCUCCUCCACCCCUUCGCUCAGCGGCGGCGUGGCUCGCAAAGCCGGCAGCGGGAGCGACCGCCGGCCCGGGCCGCCAUUUUGUGCGGGAGAAACAGACAAGCAACUGACAAGAAAAUGGCGGCCGCUCCGGGCAGCCGCCAUUUUAGGCUGCAGCUGCAGCAGUACCCGCUUAUUCCCGGCCCCAGACCCGCGCUUCUCCCGCCAUUCCCGCAUUUCUCACCUUCCCUAAGGCCUUGUCAGCUUCCCCGGGUCCCGGCGGCUACCAAGGGCAGGGGAAAAGGCAAGAGAAGGGGGGGGAGGGGAAGGGAGCCGGGGACCGGGGCUGGGGAGGGGAAGGGGGGAGCGCGCGGGACAGGGCGAGUCUCCGAGUCACCACAGCAGCAGCAGCACCGACCGGACGCGUCCCCCCGCCACCUCCAUAGAGCGCCGACCGCCGCCGCCGCGUCUCGGGCGCUCCCCGGCAGCCCCACUAACUUUAUCACCCUUCACGCAACCUACCCCACCUCCCGCCGCUACCCGCCAAUCGCCGCCGACCGCUCCACCCAUUCUGCCAAUCACAGCCGAGGAAGGGGGCGGUGCCAGGGCCGGGGUGGGCGGUGGAAGGAGGAGGUUUGGUUGCGCUGUGCCACCGCCGCAGUGCAGCACCGGUAUUCACGAACGCUGCUACGCCAGGGGCUGCCGGCGCCGCCGCGCACGGCAUCGAGGCCUGCGCAAGUGGCGCAGCCGCUGCAUGGCGGCCGCUCGGCUGCCGCGUCCCCGCGCCGUUUGCUGCCGAGCUGCAGCCCUCACAGAACGCCGGUGCUAGGGGCCUGCUGUGCGAGCUGCAGGCACGUUCACAGAAGGAUUCUAGCCAGUCUUUUUAUGAGAUUUUUGCUGCAAACUAUCUAAUUCUUUAAGAUG
This 1138-nucleotide long non-coding RNA is filed under the name Lonchura striata (white-rumped munia). Its description in RNAcentral is "domestica (Bengalese finch) lncRNA (ENSLSDG00000011395.1)". Lineage: Eukaryota; Metazoa; Chordata; Aves; Passeriformes; Estrildidae. The record is from RNAcentral.